RNAcentral lists this ribosomal RNA (305 nucleotides) under uncultured bacterium. RNAcentral describes it as "bacterial SSU rRNA". It matches the Rfam family "Bacterial small subunit ribosomal RNA", at positions 337 to 634 of the family's 1533-position model. The record is from RNAcentral.
GCCUACGGGGGGCAGCAGUGGGGAAUCUUCCACAAUGGGCGAAAGCCUGAUGGAGCAACGCCGCGUGGGUGAAGAAGGUCUUCUGAUCGUAAAACCCUGUUGUUAGAGAAGAAAGUGCGUGAGAGUAACUGUUCACGUUUCGACGGUAUCUAACCAGAAAGCCACGGCUAACUACGUGCCAGCAGCCGCGGUAAUACGUAGGUGGCAAGCGUUAUCCGGAUUUAUUGGGCGUAAAGGGAACGCAGGCGGUCUUUUAAGUCUGAUGUGAAAGCCUUCGGCUUAACCGAAGUAGUGCAUUGGAAACU